This 253-nucleotide ribosomal RNA is filed under the name uncultured bacterium. Its description in RNAcentral is "partial 16S ribosomal RNA". It matches the Rfam family "Bacterial small subunit ribosomal RNA", at positions 524 to 776 of the family's 1533-position model. The record is from RNAcentral.
UACGGAGGAUGCAAGCGUUAUCCGGAAUUAUUGGGCGUAAAGCGUCCGCAGGUGGCACUUCAAGUCUGUCGUCAAAGACCGGGGCUUAACCCUGGAAAGGCGAUGGAAACUGAAAGGCUAGGGAGAGGUAGGGGUAGAGGGAAUUCCCAGUGUAGCGGUGAAAUGCGUAGAGAUUGGGAAGAACAUCGGUGGCGAAAGCGCUCUACUGGACCUCAUCUGACACUCAGGGACGAAAGCUAGGGGAGCGAAUGGG